This 490-nucleotide ribosomal RNA is filed under the name uncultured bacterium. RNAcentral's name for it is "partial 16S ribosomal RNA". It matches the Rfam family "Bacterial small subunit ribosomal RNA", at positions 29 to 507 of the family's 1533-position model. The record is from RNAcentral.
AAUGAACGCUGGCGGCAGGCCUAACACAUGCAAGUCGAACGGUAACAGAAAGCAGCUUGCUGCUUGGCUGACGAGGGGCGGAGGGGUGAGUAAUGUCUGUGAAAUAGCCUGAUGGAGGGGGAUAUCUACUGGAAACGGUAGUUAAUACCGCAUAUCGUCGCAAGACCAAAGAGGGGGACUUUAGGGCGGUUUUCCAUCGGAUGAGACCAGAUGGGAUUAGCUAGUAGGUGGGGUAAAGGGUCACCGAGGCGACGAUCCCUAGCUGGUCUGAGAGGAUGACCAGCCACACUGGAACUGAGACACGGUCCAGACUCCUACGGGAGGCAGCAGUGGGGAAUAUUGCACAAUGGGCGCAAGCCUGAUGCAGCAAUGCCGCGUGUAUGAUGAAGGCCUUCGGGUUGUAAAGUACUUUCAGCGGGGAGGAAGGAAGUAAAGUUAAUCCCUUUGCUUAUUGACGUUACCCGAAGAAGAAGCCCCGGCUAACUCCGUG